This 592-nucleotide ribosomal RNA is filed under the name uncultured Actinomycetes bacterium. RNAcentral describes it as "bacterial SSU rRNA". It matches the Rfam family "Bacterial small subunit ribosomal RNA", at positions 829 to 1425 of the family's 1533-position model. The record is from RNAcentral. Lineage: Bacteria; Bacillati; Actinomycetota; Actinomycetes.
CUUCCACGGUUUGUGCGACGCAGCUAACGCAUUAAGCGCCCCGCCUGGGGAGUACGAUCGCAAGAUUAAAACUCAAAGGAAUUGACGGGGCCCCGCACAAGCAGCGGAGCAUGCGGCUUAAUUCGACGCAACGCGAAGAACCUUACCAAGGCUUGACAUAUACAGGAAUAUGGCAGAGAUGUCAUAGCCGCAAGGUCUGUAUACAGGUGGUGCAUGGUUGUCGUCAGCUCGUGUCGUGAGAUGUUGGGUUAAGUCCCGCAACGAGCGCAACCCUCGUUCUGUGUUGCCAGCAUUUAGUUGGGGACUCACAGGAGACUGCCGGGGUUAACUCGGAGGAAGGUGGGGAUGACGUCAAAUCAUCAUGCCCCUUAUGUCUUGGGCUGCACGCAUGCUACAAUGGCUGGUACAAACGGCUGCGAUACCGCAAGGUGGAGCGAAUCCGAGAAAGCCAGUCUCAGUUCGGAUUGGGGUCUGCAACUCGACCCCAUGAAGUCGGAGUUGCUAGUAAUCGUAGAUCAGCAACGCUACGGUGAUACGUUCCCGGGGCUUGUACACACCGCCCGUCACAUCACGAAAGUCGGUAACACCCAAA